Molecule: ribosomal RNA, 497 nt
Filed under: uncultured bacterium
Lineage: Bacteria
Description: partial 16S ribosomal RNA
Rfam family: Bacterial small subunit ribosomal RNA
Source: RNAcentral
GAUGAACGCUGGCGGCGUGCCUAAUACAUGCAAGUCGAGCGAACGGACGAGAAGCUUGCUUCUCUGAUGUUAGCGGCGGACGGGUGAGUAACACGUGGAUAACCUACCUAUAAGACUGGGAUAACUUCGGGAAACCGUAGCUAAUACCGGAUAAUAUUUUGAACCGCAUGGUUCAAAAGUGAAAGACGGUCUUGCUGUCACUUAUAGAUGGAUCCGCGCUGCAUUAGCUAGUUGGUAAGGUAACGGCUUACCAAGGCAACGAUGCAUAGCCGACCUGAGAGGGUGAUCGGCGACACUGGAACUGAGACACGGUCCAGACUCCUACGGGAGGCAGCAGUAGGGAAUCUUCCGCAAUGGGCGAAAGCCUGACGGAGCAACGCCGCGUGAGUGAUGAAGGUCUUUGGAUCGUAAAACUCUGUUAUUAGGGAAGAACAUAUGUGUAAGUAACUGUGCACAUCUUGACGGUACCUAAUCAGAAAGCCACGGCUAACUACGUG